RNAcentral lists this long non-coding RNA (295 nucleotides) under Ananas comosus (pineapple). RNAcentral describes it as "long non-coding RNA (ACOM_LNC034796)". Lineage: Eukaryota; Viridiplantae; Streptophyta; Magnoliopsida; Poales; Bromeliaceae. The record is from RNAcentral.
AAACAUUCACUAGUAAUAUGAUUCAUUUUAGAUCAUAUACAUUGCAUUCAUCUAGUAAUUUAUCGAAUUCUUACAUUCAUUACAUCAUUUCUUUCUUACAUCACAUUUACCUCAAAAUGAGCUUUACAUUCUUUUCUUUACAUCACUAAUCAUCAAGUACAAAAAGAUNGCAUGCAUAUUCUUGUUAUAUGUAUUUAUUGUGAAUUUUAGAAUGCUUAAAAGGCCUAUGUUAUAUAUGAUGAAAUUUUGGACCUCUAUAUAGUAGAGAGUAGUUUAUUAGGCCAUAGUUGCAUUU